RNA transcript from Chenopodium quinoa (quinoa), 1927 nucleotides. It is a transcript of the gene named thymidylate kinase-like, with no coding region annotated. The record is from RefSeq and is a predicted model, not a curated record. NCBI's taxonomy places the organism in Eukaryota, Viridiplantae, Streptophyta, Magnoliopsida, Caryophyllales, Amaranthaceae. The transcript has 5 exons.
UUUUACCUUAGUUUUUCAUCAGGUACCUACAUUCACUAUACAAAAAGAAAAAAAAAACAAGAGUUCUUAAAUUCCAGCGAAUUUCUACAGCAAAACACCCACAAAUUUGUCUCUGAAAUCCAACAAAUUCGGCCAAAAACUUGCGUUUCCCCAGCAAAUUUAACAUCUGAAAUCGCAGUGAAGUCGAAGACCCAUAAUCGGCUGCAAAUUCGAGCAAUUUCGAGCAAAAAUUUAGACCAAAAACCCUAAGAAAUUCGAAGCCUUAAACCCAGAAAAAUUGAUUGUUUCCGACCAAAAAUCCCCCAUUUCGAGCAAAAAAUCAACUCAAAAGCAUACAAAUUCGAAUCCUAAAAGCCCCAAAAAAUUCAAUUUCGGUCUUCAAGUUCGAUUGGGGGAUUUCUAGGGUUUUUGGCAGCGACGCAAUAUACCCUAAGAAAUUCGUCCCAUUUCAGUCAUAAAUAAUUUUUGUUCGAAUUUCAGUCAAGAAAUUACAGCAACAAUAGGUUAAGUCAAGAAAUUACAGCAACAAUAAUUGUUUGAAUUACGUCUUUUUCUGGGUUCAAGUCAAGAAAUUACAGCAACAAAAAUUCGAGCAAUAACUGAAAUUUUCGAGUGGAAAAAUCGCUUAAUUUCGCCCCAAAAAACCCGAGGAAAUUCAAGCAAAUUACAGCAACAACAAUUGAAGUUCGAUUUCGGCUCGACAUUGUUGAAUUUUUGAAGUCAAUUCCACCUAUGUACUUGGAUGAAAACAAGUCUUUGAUUCUGAAGAUUGUGGAAAGCCAGAAUUCGGGGAAGAUUAAUGAGUGUGCUGAGUAAGCUUUAUUUGCAAACUUUGGCUAUUCUUACAUGAUUCAUAAUUGUGUCUCUGCUUGGUAAUUUUGCAAACUAGUGCGAAAUGGUGGUAUGCAAAACGAUUUCUACAUCCUGACAUUGUGGCACCAUAUGAUUACAUAUUUAUCUGGGACGAAGAUUUGGGAGUGGAUAAUUUUGAUUCUGAAAAAUACGUUGAUUUGGUUAAGAAACAUGGUUUGGAAAUUUCACAGCCUGGUGUGGAUCCUAAUAGUCCGUUUACAUGGCAGAUGACAAGGAAAAGACAUGACAGUGAAGUUCACAAGUAAUAACUACAAAUGAUGAGCACAGAGGAGAAACCAGGAUGUUAAAUUUCAGUUAAAUUGUUCAAUUUUUGCUACAAAAAUGGAGAAUGAUUCUUCCAAGAAAAUUGAAGUUUCUGCCCUAAACCCCAAUUUACAAUCAAGAGGUGCUUUGGUUGUAUUAGAAGGGUUAGAUCGAAGUGGAAAGAGCUCUCAGUGUAUUCAGCUUCUCUCUCACUUGCAAAGUAUUGGGUAUUCUGCUGAGUUAUGGCGGUUUCCGGAUCGAAAUACUGCUGUUGGGCAGAUGAUCUGUGCUUAUCUUUCCAAUCAAUCUAAUUUGGAUGAUCAUACUAUUCAUCUUUUGUUCAGUGCUAAUCGUUGGGAGAAAAGGUUGUUUCUUUUUUCUUUUUAUGAUUGUUUUUUUAUACAUAAUUUGUGAGUUGCAUACCAUGUGUUUGAUGUUAUGUUUAGCUGAAUCUAAUUCCUUUCUAUGUUGUUAUUUAUUGGUUAAUUUAUUUGGUAAGAUCUGAGACAUGGCUGUUAAACCAAAUCUUAGUUUUUUCAUAGCUUGCAUCAGACUGUACAAUUUUGGUAAGGCUGUAAGGUUAAUAGGUUUGACAGUGGUGACUUUAUCUUGCAUAGUGUCAUUAUAGUGAUGCCUGCAAUACAUGUAGUGCAGGUUAUACUAAUUUUCUUUUACUUAAACAUGUUCCAGUUUCUUGCAAUGUUCUUUUUAUUUUUGUAAAUUAUGUUUUUUAACUAGAUUAUGUGAGAUAGUUGCUGUUUCAUCAAAUUCCGUAAUAAUGCCAUCUAGAUUUUCAUACGAUGCUGAAUGA